AACAAGGCGUACCUGCGGACCUGCGGAAGGAUCAUUACAAGUGACCCCGGUCUAACCACCGGGAUGUUCAUAACCCUUUGUUGUCCGACUCUGUUGCCUCCGGGGCGACCCUGCCUUCGGGCGGGGGCUCCGGGUGGACACUUCAAACUCUUGCGUAACUCUGCAGUCUGAGUAAACUUAAUUAAUAAAUUAAAACUUUCAACAACGGAUCU
This 212-nucleotide unclassified non-coding RNA is filed under the name soil metagenome. Its description in RNAcentral is "partial contains 5.8S ribosomal RNA, internal transcribed spacer 2, and large subunit ribosomal RNA". The record is from RNAcentral.